RNAcentral lists this long non-coding RNA (458 nucleotides) under Bos indicus x Bos taurus (hybrid cattle). RNAcentral describes it as "lncRNA (ENSBIXG00005009959.1)". The record is from RNAcentral. Lineage: Eukaryota; Metazoa; Chordata; Mammalia; Artiodactyla; Bovidae.
UUUUUUUUUAAUAAGUCACAUAAAAUAUAUUUUAACAAUUUUAUUUUCUCCUUAGGCCUCCAAGUAACUUUGAAGUUUGUUUUACACAAGCUCUCACAGAGGCUGUGGGUGAUCAGCUGCAGUCCAGGGAGAGCCCCUGCUCAACUUAACAACCCUCACUCCCACCUAGGACACUGGAGCCAAACCGGAGCUGCUUUCCUGGGCAUGCCAGCAUUGACCCUGCCAGCACUGAUUGCCUGCCUCAUAGAGUUUGGCACUUGGGCAAGUGGCUGGCCUGCAUCUUAUUUGGCAUCCACCCGUGGGAUAGGCACAAAGAUGAGGAGGAGGUAUAGAGAGAUGAUCCUAUAAUAAAUUUUCAACAAGCGCAGCAGGAUCUCCUUCAAUUGCUUCAUAUAUUUGACUUUCAGAUAAGAUACUAUUUGAAUAAAGUGUUACCUAGCUGUGAUGGUUAACUUAUU